Molecule: ribosomal RNA, 507 nt
Filed under: uncultured Cephalotheca
Lineage: Eukaryota; Fungi; Ascomycota; Sordariomycetes; Cephalothecales; Cephalothecaceae
Description: eukaryotic LSU rRNA
Rfam family: Eukaryotic large subunit ribosomal RNA
Source: RNAcentral
GCGAGUGAAGCGGCAACAGCUCGAAUUUGAAAUCUGGCCUCGGCCCGAGUUGUAAUCUGUAGAGGAUGCUUUUGGCGCGGUGCCUUCCGAGUGCCCUGGAACGGGACGCCACAGAGGGUGAGAGCCCCGUAUGGUCGGACACCAAGCCUGUGUAAAGCUCCUUCGACGAGUCGGGUAGCUUGGGAAUGCUGCUCUAAGUGGGAGGUAAACUUCUUCUAAAGCUAAAUACUGGCCAGAGACCGAUAGCGCACAAGUAGAGUGAUCGAAAGAUGAAAAGCACUUUGAAAAGAGGGUCAAAUAGUACGUGAAAUUGUUGAAAGGGAAGCGCUCAUGACCAGACUUGCGCCGGGCUGAUCAUCCAGUGGUCUCCACUGGUGCACUCUGCCCGGCUCAGGCCAGCGUCGGCUGUCACGGGGGGACAAAAGCACUGGGAAAGUAGCUCUCUCCGGGGAGUGUUAUAGCCCUAUGCAGAAUACCCCCGCGGCGGCCGAGGUCCGCGCUCUGCAA